GGCGAGUGGCGAACGGGUGAGUAAUACAUCGGAACGUGCCCUGUAGUGGGGGAUAACUAGUCGAAAGAUUAGCUAAUACCGCAUACGACCUGAGGGUGAAAGUGGGGGACCGCAAGGCCUCAUGCUAUAGGAGCGGCCGAUGUCUGAUUAGCUAGUUGGUGAGGUAAAGGCUCACCAAGGCGACGAUCAGUAGCUGGUCUGAGAGGACGAUCAGCCACACUGGGACUGAGACACGGCCCAGACUCCUACGGGAGGCAGCAGUGGGGAAUUUUGGACAAUGGGCGAAAGCCUGAUCCAGCAAUGCCGCGUGUGUGAAGAAGGCCUUCGGGUUGUAAAGCACUUUCGUCCGGAAAGAAAUGGCUCUGGUUAAUACCUGGGGUCGAUGACGGUACCGGAAGAAUAAGGACCGGCUAACUACGUGCCAGCAGCCGCGGUAAUACGUAGGGUCCAAGCGUUAAUCGGAAUUACUGGGCGUAAAGCGUGCGCAGGCGGUUGUGCAAGACCGAUGUGAAAUCCCCGAGCUUAACUUGGGAAUUGCAUUGGUGACUGCACGGCUAGAGUGUGUCAGAGGGGGGUAGAAUUCCACGUGUAGCAGUGAAAUGCGUAGAGAUGUGGAGGAAUACCGAUGGCGAAGGCAGCCCCCUGGGAUAACACUGACGCUCAUGCACGA
Molecule: ribosomal RNA, 670 nt
Filed under: uncultured Ralstonia sp.
Lineage: Bacteria; Pseudomonadati; Pseudomonadota; Betaproteobacteria; Burkholderiales; Burkholderiaceae
Description: bacterial SSU rRNA
Rfam family: Bacterial small subunit ribosomal RNA
Source: RNAcentral